CAGUCGACGAACUCUGGUAUUGAUUGGUGCUUGCAUCAUGAUUUACAUUUGAGUGAGUGGCGAACUGGUGAGUAACACGUGGGAAACCUGCCCAGAAGCGGGGGAUAACACCUGGAAACAGAUGCUAAUACCGCAUAACAACUUGGACCGCAUGGUCCGAGUUUGAAAGAUGGCUUCGGCUAUCACUUUUGGAUGGUCCCGCGGCGUAUUAGCUAGAUGGUGGGGUAACGGCUCACCAUGGCAAUGAUACGUAGCCGACCUGAGAGGGUAAUCGGCCACAUUGGGACUGAGACACGGCCCAAACUCCUACGGGAGGCAGCAGUAGGGAAUCUUCCACAAUGGACGAAAGUCUGAUGGAGCAACGCCGCGUGAGUGAAGAAGGGUUUCGGCUCGUAAAACUCUGUUGUUAAAGAAGAACAUAUCUGAGAGUAACUGUUCAGGUAUUGACGGUAUUUAACCAGAAAGCCACGGCUAACUACGUGCCAGCAGCCGCGGUAAUACGUAGGUGGCAAGCGUUGUCCGGAUUUAUUGGGCGUAAAGCGAGCGCAGGCGGUUUUUUAAGUCUGAUGUGAAAGCCUUCGGCUCAACCGAAGAAGUGCAUCGGAAACUGGGAAACUUGAGUGCAGAAGAGGACAGUGGAACUCCAUGUGUAGCGGUGAAAUGCGUAGAUAUAUGGAAGAACACCAGUGGCGAAGGCGGCUGUCUGGUCUGUAACUGACGCUGAGGCUCGAAAGUAUGGGUAGCAAACAGGAUUAGAUACCCUGGUAGUCCAUACCGUAAACGAUGAAUGCUAAGUGUUGGAGGGUUUCCGCCCUUCAGUGCUGCAGCUAACGCAUUAAGCAUUCCGCCUGGGGAGUACGGCCGCAAGGCUGAAACUCAAAGGAAUUGACGGGGGCCCGCACAAGCGGUGGAGCAUGUGGUUUAAUUCGAAGCUACGCGAAGAACCUUACCAGGUCUUGACAUACUAUGCAAAUCUAAGAGAUUAGACGUUCCCUUCGGGGACAUGGAUACAGGUGGUGCAUGGUUGUCGUCAGCUCGUGUCGUGAGAUGUUGGGUUAAGUCCCGCAACGAGCGCAACCCUUAUUAUCAGUUGCCAGCAUUAAGUUGGGCACUCUGGUGAGACUGCCGGUGACAAACCGGAGGAAGGUGGGGAUGACGUCAAAUCAUCAUGCCCCUUAUGACCUGGGCUACACACGUGCUACAAUGGAUGGUACAACGAGUUGCGAACUCGCGAGAGUAAGCUAAUCUCUUAAAGCCAUUCUCAGUUCGGAUUGUAGGCUGCAACUCGCCUACAUGAAGUCGGAAUCGCUAGUAAUCGCGGAUCAGCAUGCCGCGGUGAAUACGUUCCCGGGCCUUGUACACACCGCCCGUCACACCAUGAGAGUUUGUAACACCCAAAGUCGGUGGGGUAACCUUUUAGGAACCAGC
This 1428-nucleotide ribosomal RNA is filed under the name Lactiplantibacillus plantarum. RNAcentral's name for it is "bacterial SSU rRNA". It matches the Rfam family "Bacterial small subunit ribosomal RNA". Lineage: Bacteria; Bacillati; Bacillota; Bacilli; Lactobacillales; Lactobacillaceae. The record is from RNAcentral.